This 465-nucleotide ribosomal RNA is filed under the name Vreelandella stevensii. Its description in RNAcentral is "partial 16S ribosomal RNA". It matches the Rfam family "Bacterial small subunit ribosomal RNA", at positions 338 to 795 of the family's 1533-position model. Lineage: Bacteria; Pseudomonadati; Pseudomonadota; Gammaproteobacteria; Oceanospirillales; Halomonadaceae. The record is from RNAcentral.
CCUACGGGUGGCAGCAGUGGGGAAUAUUGGACAAUGGGCGAAAGCCUGAUCCAGCCAUGCCGCGUGUGUGAAGAAGGCCUUCGGGUUGUAAAGCACUUUCAGUGGGGAAGAAAGCCUUGGGGCUAAUACCCUCGAGGAAGGACAUCACCCACAGAAGAAGCACCGGCUAACUCCGUGCCAGCAGCCGCGGUAAUACGGAGGGUGCGAGCGUUAAUCGGAAUUACUGGGCGUAAAGCGCGCGUAGGCGGUCUGAUAAGCCGGUUGUGAAAGCCCCGGGCUCAACCUGGGAACGGCAUCCGGAACUGUCAGGCUAGAGUGCAGGAGAGGAAGGUAGAAUUCCCGGUGUAGCGGUGAAAUGCGUAGAGAUCGGGAGGAAUACCAGUGGCGAAGGCGGCCUUCUGGACUGACACUGACGCUGAGGUGCGAAAGCGUGGGUAGCAAACAGGAUUAGAUUCCCGGGUAGUC